AGAUAUGUUUGAUAUUCUUGGUUGUUCCAUGUUCAGCCUACAACCAGAUGUCAGACAUAUUAUUA
This 65-nucleotide microRNA precursor is filed under the name Daphnia magna. RNAcentral describes it as "Dma-Mir-190_pre stem-loop". It matches the Rfam family "mir-190 microRNA precursor family", at positions 10 to 69 of the family's 78-position model. Lineage: Eukaryota; Metazoa; Arthropoda; Branchiopoda; Diplostraca; Daphniidae. The record is from RNAcentral.